RNAcentral lists this small RNA (187 nucleotides) under Mytilus galloprovincialis (Mediterranean mussel). The record is from RNAcentral. Lineage: Eukaryota; Metazoa; Mollusca; Bivalvia; Mytilida; Mytilidae.
GCUCUAUGGUCGGGUUGUUGUCUCUUUGGCACAUUCCCCAUUCCCAUUCUCAAUUUUAUUGUUAGAUGAAUUCUACGGCAACAGUGUUUAUAUAUUAGUUCAUUUUGAUUUGAUAACAUUACAAUUUCAAUAAAAUUGAGAAUGGAAAUGGGGAGUGUCUCAAAGAGACAACAGCCCGACCAUAGAA